This 711-nucleotide ribosomal RNA is filed under the name Rathayibacter festucae. RNAcentral's name for it is "bacterial SSU rRNA". It matches the Rfam family "Bacterial small subunit ribosomal RNA", at positions 78 to 799 of the family's 1533-position model. The record is from RNAcentral. Lineage: Bacteria; Bacillati; Actinomycetota; Actinomycetes; Micrococcales; Microbacteriaceae.
GCUUGCUGGGUGGAUUAGUGGCGAACGGGUGAGUAACACGUGAGUAACCUGCCCUUGACUCUGGGAUAAGCGCUGGAAACGGCGUCUAAUACCGGAUACGACCUGCCCCGGCAUCGGGUGCGGGUGGAAAGUUUUUCGGUCAAGGAUGGACUCGCGGCCUAUCAGGUAGUUGGUGAGGUAAUGGCUCACCAAGCCGACGACGGGUAGCCGGCCUGAGAGGGUGACCGGCCACACUGGGACUGAGACACGGCCCAGACUCCUACGGGAGGCAGCAGUGGGGAAUAUUGCACAAUGGGCGAAAGCCUGAUGCAGCAACGCCGCGUGGGGGAUGACGGCCUUCGGGUUGUAAACCUCUUUUAGUAGGGAAGAAGGGCUUCGGCUUGACGGUACCUGCAGAAAAAGCACCGGCUAACUACGUGCCAGCAGCCGCGGUAAUACGUAGGGUGCAAGCGUUGUCCGGAAUUAUUGGGCGUAAAGAGCUCGUAGGCGGUUUGUCGCGUCUGCUGUGAAAACCCGAGGCUCAACCUCGGGCCUGCAGUGGGUACGGGCAGACUAGAGUGCGGUAGGGGAGAAUGGAAUUCCUGGUGUAGCGGUGGAAUGCGCAGAUAUCAGGAGGAACACCGAUGGCGAAGGCAGUUCUCUGGGCCGUUACUGACGCUGAGGAGCGAAAGCGUGGGGAGCGAACAGGAUUAGAUACCCUGGUAGUCCACG